GACGAACGCUGGCGGCGUGCUUAACACAUGCAAGUCGAACGGAAAGGCCCUGCUUUUGUUGGGUGCUCGAGUGGCGAACGGGUGAGUAACACGUGAGUAACCUGCCCUUGACUUUGGGAUAACUUCAGGAAACUGGGGCUAAUACCGGAUAGGAGCUCCUGCUGCAUGGUGGGGGUUGGAAAGUUUCGGCGGUUGGGGAUGGACUCGCGGCUUAUCAGCUUGUUGGUGGGGUAGUGGCUUACCAAGGCUUUGACGGGUAGCCGGCCUGAGAGGGUGACCGGCCACAAUGGGACUGAGAUACGGCCCAGACUCCAACGGGAGGCAGCAGUGGGGAAUAUUGCACAAUGGGCGGAAGCCUGAUGCAGCAACGCCGCGUGCGGGAUGACGGCCUUCGGGUUAUAAACCGCUUUCGCCGGUGACGAAGCGUGAGUGACGGUAAUGGGUAAAGAAGCACCGGCUAACUACGUG
RNAcentral lists this ribosomal RNA (468 nucleotides) under uncultured bacterium. Its description in RNAcentral is "partial 16S ribosomal RNA". It matches the Rfam family "Bacterial small subunit ribosomal RNA", at positions 28 to 507 of the family's 1533-position model. The record is from RNAcentral.